AGCGGACCGACGGGAGCUUGCUCCCUUAGGUCAGCGGCGGACGGGUGAGUAACACGUGGGUAACCUGCCUGUAAGACUGGGAUAACUCCGGGAAACCGGGGCUAAUACCGGAUGCUUGAUUGAACCGCAUGGUUCAAUCAUAAAAGGUGGCUUUCAGCUACCACUUACAGAUGGACCCGCGGCGCAUUAGCUAGUUGGUGAGGUAACGGCUCACCAAGGCGACGAUGCGUAGCCGACCUGAGAGGGUGAUCGGCCACACUGGGACUGAGACACGGCCCAGACUCCUACGGGAGGCAGCAGUAGGGAAUCUUCCGCAAUGGACGAAAGUCUGACGGAGCAACGCCGCGUGAGUGAUGAAGGUUUUCGGAUCGUAAAACUCUGUUGUUAGGGAAGAACAAGUACCGUUCGAAUAGGGCGGCACCUUGACGGUACCUAACCAGAAAGCCACGGCUAACUACGUGCCAGCAGCCGCGGUAAUACGUAGGUGGCAAGCGUUGUCCGGAAUUAUUGGGCGUAAAGCGCGCGCAGGCGGUUUCUUAAGUCUGAUGUGAAAGCCCCCGGCUCAACCGGGGAGGGUCAUUGGAAACUGGGGAACUUGAGUGCAGAAGAGGAGAGUGGAAUUCCACGUGUAGCGGUGAAAUGCGUAGAGAUGUGGAGGAACACCAGUGGCGAAGGCGACUCUCUGGUCUGUAA
This 693-nucleotide ribosomal RNA is filed under the name uncultured Bacilli bacterium. RNAcentral describes it as "bacterial SSU rRNA". It matches the Rfam family "Bacterial small subunit ribosomal RNA", at positions 65 to 739 of the family's 1533-position model. The record is from RNAcentral. Lineage: Bacteria; Bacillati; Bacillota; Bacilli.